UACCGAGGUCCCAAGCGUUGUUCGGAUAUACUGGGCGUAAAGCGCACGUAGGCGGCGCCGUAAGUCAGGGGUGAAAUCCCGGAGCUCAACUCCGGAACUGCCCUUGAAACUGCAGUGCUAGAAUCUUGGAGAGGCGAGUGGAAUUCCGAGUGUAGAGGUGAAAUUCGUAGAUAUUCGGAAGAACACCAGUGGCGAAGGCGACUCGCUGGACAAGUAUUGACGCUGAGGUGCGAAAGCGUGGGGAGCAAACAGG
Molecule: ribosomal RNA, 253 nt
Filed under: uncultured bacterium
Lineage: Bacteria
Description: partial 16S ribosomal RNA
Rfam family: Bacterial small subunit ribosomal RNA
Source: RNAcentral